AGUGAACGCUGGCGGUAGGCCUAACACAUGCAAGUCGAACGGCAGCACAGUAAGAGCUUGCUCUUACGGGUGGCGAGUGGCGGACGGGUGAGGAAUACAUCGGAAUCUACUUUUUCGUGGGGGAUAACGUAGGGAAACUUACGCUAAUACCGCAUACGACCUACGGGUGAAAGCAGGGGAUCUUCGGACCUUGCGCGAUUGAAUGAGCCGAUGUCGGAUUAGCUAGUUGGCGGGGUAAAGGCCCACCAAGGCGACGAUCCGUAGCUGGUCUGAGAGGAUGAUCAGCCACACUGGAACUGAGACACGGUCCAGACUCCUACGGGAGGCAGCAGUGGGAAAUAUUGGACAAAGGGCGCAAGCCUGAUCCAGCCAUACCGCGUGGGUGAAGAAGGCCUUCGGGUUGUAAAGCCCUUUUGUUGGGAAAGAAAAGCAGCAGGUUAAUACCCCGCUGUUCUGACGGUACCCAAAGAAUAAGCACCGGCUAACUUCGUG
Molecule: ribosomal RNA, 492 nt
Filed under: uncultured bacterium
Lineage: Bacteria
Description: partial 16S ribosomal RNA
Rfam family: Bacterial small subunit ribosomal RNA
Source: RNAcentral